RNAcentral lists this ribosomal RNA (253 nucleotides) under uncultured bacterium. RNAcentral's name for it is "partial 16S ribosomal RNA". It matches the Rfam family "Bacterial small subunit ribosomal RNA", at positions 524 to 776 of the family's 1533-position model. The record is from RNAcentral.
CACGGAGGGGGUUAGCGUUGUUCGGAAUUACUGGGCGUAAAGCGCGCGUAGGCGGAUUAGAAAGUUGGGGGUGAAAUCCCGGGGCUCAACCUCGGAACUGCCUCCAAAACUGCUAGUCUAGAGUUCGAGAGAGGUGAGUGGAAUUCCGAGUGUAGAGGUGAAAUUCGUAGAUAUUCGGAGGAACACCAGUGGCGAAGGCGGCUCACUGGCUCGAUACUGACGCUGAGGUGCGAAAGUGUGGGGAGCAAACAGG